UUUUUUAAUUUAUACUUGAAACUCUUUCAAAUGCUGGAUUUUCACCUCCUUUUUCAGGAAGUAUUCAUGAAUUGACAUGGGUCAACAUACUUCUCAUUACCAGGCAAAAAGGAGAAGCCACAACACUUAACUCAUGAUCUGGAGUCUUAAGAGGAUUUCUGAGUUCAGUGAAGGGUGUCUGAGAACAGAGUCUGGUGCUCCUGUGCAUAUUGAAGUAUCUUCAAGUACCAAUUCCUCCUUUCAAAGAAUGGAUUUUGUUUGAGCUUUUAAAGAAUUAGACAAUUAAAAUUGAGUUGGGAACUGAAGUGGUGGAGUAGUCUUUGAAAUGCAGUGCCCAUCAGCAACAUGCAUCUGCUUAUGCUUCACUAGAAGAGGUCUGUACUAGAAAUCUCUAUUAAAAAACCUUCCCUGCUGGUUUCAUUUUCAUAUAAAAGAUAAAACACAGGCUUUUGAAAGUGAGCAAUUAUUAUUGUGCUUCCUUCACCUUAACCAACGUCAAGAUGUUGUUUAUCUCUUGACAGUGCAACAUUCUGACUGCACUUAUGUUUUUUUUAGGACAGUAAUGUACCCAGAAGAAGGGUUAAUGGAUGUGUGUUCAGAUCUGUAUGCCAGUGCCUCUCAGUCUUUGAUUCUUAAUACCUGUCCUAAGUAGCUUACAAGAUAGCCCAGAAAAGAAAGUGUGACUUGCAUCUGCAUGCUAUUUCAUUUGCAGUAGAAGUCUGAAACAGUUCAAGAACAGAGCAGAGGUGACUGUUGAACCAAAUAUGUUCUAGGUGUAUUUCAUUCUACAGCAUUUAACUAUGAAGAACAAAUCUGUAUUACUAUUAGUUUUCUGUACCUCUCAGCAUGCUUCAGAAAAGACAGCCAUGUAAAUGAGAAGUAGGAUAGUAAAUGUUUACAAGUAGAUGGGGCUUUGAAAGUGUAGUAAAAAUCAGUUUGAAUAAAAAAAAUUAAAAAAGGAAAGAAAAGAAAAACAGAGAACCAGUAUACUGAAAAGCUCCUUGUAAUCUAGUGGGCUCCUGUGACUCACUUGUCAUAUUUCUAAAACGUUUGUUUACAUCUAAGGGUUUCUAAAUAUCUGAAUUACCCAUACUGUCUGCAACUAAUUUACUCUUUUAAGGUUCUAGUGUUAUUUGCAUUGUCUUAGAAGACCACCUUGAGUCAAUGCUCUAAAACAUCCAGGUAAACAGUUCACAAGCUGACUGUCCUGUGCUCUCUGAGCAGCACUUGGGACAAAACUCAAGUCAGGAGGAAUGGAAUGGGCCAGGAGACUCUUGUUCUGCUGGCUGGUCCUUAGGAUUUCUGUGUACUUGUGCUGCUUUGUUCCGUGUUGGUUUCAGCACUGAGACUCUAAGUAUUGGCAGACUUGUUAGAGACUUAGCCAUCGUUUUCAAAGGCAUUCUGAAGGCCCCACCAUCUUCAAAUGGAGGAAAAAGAUAGGACAGAGAUCUGACUGUUCCUUUAAACAGCUUGUACUGGAUUUGGAAGUGUAGUGUGGCAAACAAUAUAUUGAAUUUAGUUUCAGGAUUAAAUGAAAAGAGCAGUUUAAAACGUGGCUGUGUUAUUCUUCAACAAUUUUUCCAUUUAUAUUAUAUAAAAUAUGCCUCUAAGUAGGACACCCAGCCAGAAAGAUACAGACACAUGACCAUAAAUGGCAUCACUGAAAAUGUGACAUGAAAAGAGGCAGGUAACAAUAAUGAUGGAAGGUGUGGAUCCAAGUUUCAAUAAAAAUGACUUUUGUAUCAAGUGAAAAGGUCAGGCUUUAUGUAAGCAAGGAUUUAAGAGCCUGUGCUGUGUUAUUACCUAAAGUAAAACUAACAGUUACAGCAUUUUUUUUCAUCCUGGCAUUUCUUUGUGCUUAAAUGUCAGCAUAAGGUUUUUAUUUCAGGGAUUAUGGAAGUAAUGUUGUGGGUUAAACACAAAAUGAACAUUAUUAACAACUGAAAUAUGAUUGGGCAAUUAUAAUUGGGUAGUUAAAAUUGAUUGUAAUGGAAUAUAAAACAAAAUGGACUCACAUUAAUUACAGGGACUAAUGGUUGAUUUUGUGGUCUAAAUUACCAUGCUUAAAAUCAUUUCAGCUGUUAGUAAAAUGUAAGAGCUUAAUGCAGUUUACCAUGAAGUCCACUAUACCAAGGGAAAGCAUGAAAGCUCCUGAUGCUUAUGCCUUCACUUUGAUUCCAUGCAAGUAUCAAAUACUUGUAAAGGAAACAUCUUUGAUGUGUAAGAUUUAUAACCUUUGUACUUUUUUUUUUCUUUUUCCUGACAUUUUUGUGAGAUUGCUUUUGUCCAAAUAAAGCAUGUGGAUCAUUUUGGACGCUUUGGUAUAAAAAGUCAUCUUUGUCUACAUACAACUAACAAAACUUUUGAAUUUCAGACAGUUUUCAUUGAUGUGAAGAUUGCU
This is a non-coding RNA of Meleagris gallopavo (turkey), 2401 nucleotides long. Lineage: Eukaryota; Metazoa; Chordata; Aves; Galliformes; Phasianidae. The record is from RefSeq and is a predicted model, not a curated record.